This 494-nucleotide ribosomal RNA is filed under the name uncultured bacterium. Its description in RNAcentral is "partial 16S ribosomal RNA". It matches the Rfam family "Bacterial small subunit ribosomal RNA", at positions 28 to 507 of the family's 1533-position model. The record is from RNAcentral.
GACGAACGCUGGCGGCGUGCUUAACACAUGCAAGUCGAACGGAAAGGCCUGCUUUCCCUUGUGGAUUGCGGGUACUCGAGUGGCGAACGGGUGAGUAACACGUGAGUGAUCUGCCCCCAACUUGGGUAUAAGCCUGGGAAACUGGGUCUAAUUCCCGAUAGGACUGCAGGGUGGUGCCUGUGGUGGAAAACGAUUUUCUAGUGGUUGGGGAUGAGCUCGCGGCCUAUCAGCUUGUUGGUGGGGUAAUGGCCUACCAAGGCGGCGACGGGUAGCCGGCCUGGGAGGGUGGACGGCCACAUUGGGACUGAGAUACGGCCCAGACUCCUACGGGAGGCAGCAGUGGGGAAUAUUGCACGAUGGGCGGAAGCCUGAGGCAGCGACGCCGCGUGGGGGAUGACGGCCUUCGGGUUGUAAACUCCUUUCGACCGCGAGGAAGCCACCUGGUUGGAAGGGUGGUGACGGUAGUGGUAGAAGAAGCACCGGCUAACUACGUG